AGCUGCGGCAGCGACACUGUGUGUUGUUGGGUAGGGGAGCGUUCUGUAAGCCUGUGAAGGUGUGUCGUGAGGCAUGCUGGAGGUAUCAGAAGUGCGAAUGCUGACAUAAGUAACGAUAAAGCGGGUGAAAAGCCCGCUCGCCGGAAGACCAAGGGUUCCUGUCCAACGUUAAUCGGGGCAGGGUGAGUCGACCCCUAAGGCGAGGCCGAAAGGCGUAGUCGAUGGGAAACGGGUUAAUAUUCCCGUACUUGGUGUUACUGCGAAGGGGGGACGGAGAAGGCUAUGUUGGCCGGGCGACGGUUGUCCCGGUUUAAGCGUGUAGGUGUGUGUUCCAGGUAAAUCCGGUUCACUUUAACACUGAGGCGUGACGACGAGGCACUACGGUGCUGAAGCAACAAAUGCCCUGCUUCCAGGAAAAGCCUCUAAGCAUCAGGUAACAUCAAAUCGUACCCCAAACCGACACAGGUGGUCAGGUAGAGAAUACCAAGGCGCUUGAGAGAACUCGGGUGAAGGAACUAGGCAAAAUGGUGCCGUAACUUCGGGAGAAGGCACGCUGACACGUAGGUGAAGUGAUUUACUCAUGGAGCUGAAGUCAGUCGAAGAUACCAGCUGGCUGCAACUGUUUAUUAAAAACACAGCACUGUGCAAACACGAAAGUGGACGUAUACGGUGUGACGCCUGCCCGGUGCCGGAAGGUUAAUUGAUGGGGUCAGCGCAAGCGAAGCUCCUGAUCGAAGCCCCGGUAAACGGCGGCCGUAACUAUAACGGUCCUAAGGUAGCGAAAUUCCUUGUCGGGUAAGUUCCGACCUGCACGAAUGGCGUAAUGAUGGCCAGGCUGUCUCCACCCGAGACUCAGUGAAAUUGAACUCGCUGUGAAGAUGCAGUGUACCCGCGGCAAGACGGAAAGACCCCGUGAACCUUUACUAUAGCUUGACACUGAACAUUGAGCCUUGAUGUGUAGGAUAGGUGGGAGGCUUUGAAGUGUGGACGCCAGUCUGCAUGGAGCCGACCUUGAAAUACCACCCUUUAAUGUUUGAUGUUCUAACGUGGACCCGUUACCCGGGUUGCGGACAGUGUCUGGUGGGUAGUUUGACUGGGGCGGUCUCCUCCUAAAGAGUAACGGAGGAGCACGAA
RNAcentral lists this ribosomal RNA (1134 nucleotides) under Salmonella enterica. Its description in RNAcentral is "partial 23S ribosomal RNA". It matches the Rfam family "Bacterial large subunit ribosomal RNA", at positions 1198 to 2314 of the family's 2925-position model. Lineage: Bacteria; Pseudomonadati; Pseudomonadota; Gammaproteobacteria; Enterobacterales; Enterobacteriaceae. The record is from RNAcentral.